AUACGUAGGUGGCAAAGCGUUAUCCGGAUUUAUUGGGCGUAAAGCGAGCGCAGGCGGUUUUUUAAGUCUGAUGUGAAAGCCUUCGGCUUAACCGAAGAAGGGCAUCGGAAACUGGGAGACUUGAGUGCAGAAGAGGACAGUGGAACUCCAUGUGUAGCGGUGAAAUGCGUAGAUAUAUGGAAGAACACCAGUGGCGAAGGCGGCUGUCUGGUCUGUAACUGACGCUGAGGCUCGAAAGUAUGGGUAGC
Molecule: ribosomal RNA, 248 nt
Filed under: uncultured bacterium
Lineage: Bacteria
Description: partial 16S ribosomal RNA
Rfam family: Bacterial small subunit ribosomal RNA
Source: RNAcentral